GACGAACGCUGGCGGCGUGCUUAACACAUGCAAGUCGAGCGAUGAAGCUCCUUCGGGAGUGGAUUAGCGGCGGACGGGUGAGUAACACGUGGGCAACCUGCCUUAUAGAGAGGAAUAGCCAUCCGAAAGGAUGAUUAAUACCUCAUAAUAUUGUAGCUUCGCAUGGAGCAACAAUCAAAGGAGCAAUCCACUAUAAGAUGGGCCCGCGGCGCAUUAGCUAGUUGGUGAGGUAACGGCUCACCAAGGCGACGAUGCGUAGCCGACCUGAGCGGGUGAUCGGCCACAUUGGGACUGAGACACGGCCCAGACUCCUACGGGAGGCAGCAGUGGGGAAUAUUGCACAAUGGGGGAAACCCUGAUGCAGCAACGCCGCGUGAGUGAUGACGGCCUUCGGGUUGUAGAGCUCUGUCUUCAGGGACGAUAAUGACGGUACCUGAGGAGGAAGCCACGGCUAACUACGUGCCAGCCGCCGCCGUAA
Molecule: ribosomal RNA, 478 nt
Filed under: uncultured bacterium
Lineage: Bacteria
Description: partial 16S ribosomal RNA
Rfam family: Bacterial small subunit ribosomal RNA
Source: RNAcentral